UCGCUACUACCGAUUGAAUGGCUUAGUGAGUUUCGAGGAUCGGCAGCCUCAGGGGCUUGUACCCUGUUGAUGUUGAGAGCAGAUGCAAACUUGAUCAUUUAGAGGAAGUAA
This 111-nucleotide ribosomal RNA is filed under the name uncultured eukaryote. RNAcentral describes it as "partial small subunit ribosomal RNA". The record is from RNAcentral.